Molecule: ribosomal RNA, 253 nt
Filed under: uncultured bacterium
Lineage: Bacteria
Description: partial 16S ribosomal RNA
Rfam family: Bacterial small subunit ribosomal RNA
Source: RNAcentral
UACAGGGGGUGCAAACGUUGCUCGGAAUUAUUGGGCGUAAAGCGCACGUAGGCGGUUCGUUAUGUCAGAUGUGAAAGCCCUUGGCUCAACUGAGGAAGUGCAUCUGAAACUGGCGAGCUAGAGUACGUAAGAGGGUCGCGGAAUUCCCGGUGUAGAGGUGAAAUUCGUAGAUAUCGGGAGGAACACCGGUGGCGAAGGCGGCGACCUGGGACGAUACUGACGCUGAGGUGCGAAAGCGUGGGGAGCAAACGGG